UUUUUAAAUAGUGUUAACAAUGAUGAUGCUCUAGUUGUUAUUGCUAGUUUAAUUAUUCUUCUUCUUUCUUUCAGGGAUUAGGUAUCUUUGCCUGUUUGGAACCUUAUAUUAUCCAUCCAUUUUUUUCUUGGACAUCCUUGGUCUCUCUAGCCUUCUGGGUUGUAAUUGAGCUCCAAUCUUGGUAACCUUUCUUCAUUAAUUCUAUUCAGAUGCUGGUACCAUUUCAAUCAACUAUGAGAUAUCUAAUCG
Long non-coding RNA from Nilaparvata lugens (brown planthopper), 249 nucleotides. RefSeq lists it as uncharacterized. The record is from RefSeq and is a predicted model, not a curated record. NCBI's taxonomy places the organism in Eukaryota, Metazoa, Arthropoda, Insecta, Hemiptera, Delphacidae. The transcript is spliced from 2 exons.